Molecule: ribosomal RNA, 237 nt
Filed under: uncultured Actinomycetes bacterium
Lineage: Bacteria; Bacillati; Actinomycetota; Actinomycetes
Description: uncultured actinobacterium partial 16S ribosomal RNA
Rfam family: Bacterial small subunit ribosomal RNA
Source: RNAcentral
UAGCGAACGGGUGAGUAACACGUGAGCAACGUGCCCAAGACUCUGGAAUAACUUCGGGAAACCGGAGCUAAUACUGGAUACGAGACGUAAAGGCAUCUUUAGCGUCUGGAAAGAAUUUCGGUCUUGGAUCGGCUCACGGCCUAUCAGCUUGUUGGUGAGGUAAUGGCUCACCAAGGCGACGACGGGUAGCCGGCCUGAGAGGGUGACCGGCCACACUGGGACUGAGACACGGCCCAG